This 253-nucleotide ribosomal RNA is filed under the name uncultured bacterium. Its description in RNAcentral is "partial 16S ribosomal RNA". It matches the Rfam family "Bacterial small subunit ribosomal RNA", at positions 524 to 776 of the family's 1533-position model. The record is from RNAcentral.
UACGUAGGGUGCGAGCGUUGUCCGGAAUUACUGGGCGUAAAGAGCUCGUAGGUGGUUUGUCGCGUUGUUCGUGAAAACCGGGGGCUUAACCCUCGGCGUGCGGGCGAUACGGGCAGACUUGAGUACUGCAGGGGAGACUGGAAUUCCUGGUGUAGCGGUGAAAUGCGCAGAUAUCAGGAGGAACACCGGUGGCGAAGGCGGUUCUCUGGGCAUUACCUGACGCUGAGGAGCGAAAGUGUGGGGAGCGAACAGG